GUGCUUGCUUUGGCAGCACAUAUACUAAAAUUGGAACGAUACGGAGAAGCAUGACCCCUGCGUA
RNAcentral lists this small nuclear RNA (64 nucleotides) under Peromyscus maniculatus bairdii (prairie deer mouse). The record is from RNAcentral. Lineage: Eukaryota; Metazoa; Chordata; Mammalia; Rodentia; Cricetidae.